Molecule: long non-coding RNA, 436 nt
Organism: Mauremys mutica (yellowpond turtle)
Lineage: Eukaryota; Metazoa; Chordata; Testudines; Geoemydidae
Exons: 3
Source: RefSeq, a predicted model, not a curated record
UUUCCUCCCCUUCUUGUGCAUCGUGUUAACAAUGGAAAGGUUCAGCUCUGCAGAGCAUGUAUUGGCGAGAGUCUGUUCAACGCUCUGUAUGGGCUCAAUCUCUCACCCAUUUGAAGUCCAUGGAAGUGUUGCCUGUGAGUUCCCAGGAACAGGAUCAUACUUUAUAUGAACAGCUGACAGGGGACAGUGGGGGAACCACUAAGGCUUCCCUUGGUUAUACAGGGAGAAGAGGAGAGAGGGAGCUUCCUUGAAGCUUUACUUAAAGCACCUUCACAUGUUAUAACUGAUCUCAGCUGAGUUUUCUUCCCCAAUCAAGCAUGGAUUUAGUGGCGUAAGGAGAAGAAACAAGUGGCAGGAGCAGAUGAACUCUCAAGAAGCAGUGAUCCUGUUGCCAUUCACACAGUCUCAGUAAUAUAGAUUCACGAAAGAGAAAUAC